GAUGAACGCUGGCGGCGUGCCUAAUACAUGCAAGUCGAGCGAAAGGACGAUAAGCUCGUUUCCUUGAGGUUAGCGGCGGACGGGCGAGUAAGACGUGGAUAACAUACUUAUAUGACUGGGAUAAUUACGGGAAAACGGUGCCACUACCAGCUGAUAUUUUCUACCGCAGGGUUCAAAAGAGAAUGACGGUUUUCGUGUCAGUAAUAGCUGGUUCCGCGCUGCAUUAGCUAGUUGGUAAGGUAACGGCUUACCAAGGCAACGAUGCAUAGCCGACCUGAGAGGGUGAUCGGCCACACUGGAACUGAGACACGGUCCAGACUCCUACGGGAGGCAGCAGUAGGGAAUCUUCCGCAAUGGGCGAAAGCCUGACGGAGCAACGCCGCGUGAGUGAUGAAGGUCUUCGGAUCGUAAAACUCUGUUAUUAGGAAAGAACAGAUGUGUAAGUAACUGUGCACAUCUUGACGGUACCUAAUCAGAAAGCCACGGCUAACUACGUG
RNAcentral lists this ribosomal RNA (497 nucleotides) under uncultured bacterium. RNAcentral describes it as "partial 16S ribosomal RNA". It matches the Rfam family "Bacterial small subunit ribosomal RNA", at positions 28 to 507 of the family's 1533-position model. The record is from RNAcentral.